Molecule: long non-coding RNA, 3663 nt
Filed under: Homo sapiens (human)
Lineage: Eukaryota; Metazoa; Chordata; Mammalia; Primates; Hominidae
Description: HSALNT0299944
Source: RNAcentral
UCUGAUGGAGGUUACCGAGGCAGCGAAUUACUGACCUAAGAUUCUAACUCCAAUCUUCUGAUUCCAAAGCCUUUGUUACUUGCUCCACCCCACAACUGCCUCACAAGCAUCCCAGAGUCCAGUCAGCAGACAGCAGAAGAGACUGUCAGCAGACCACCUUGGAGGGGAUGCUUGGAGCUGCCUAACGUGUGAUUCAAAGAUGAAUUCCAUGUGUUUGGAGAAGAAGCCCUAGCCUCAACACAAAGGUUGGCCACAUUCCAGCCAAGGUAGCACGGAGUGAAGGCCCGUGGAGGGAGAGCUGGGCUUUUCUGAACUACUUCAGUACACCUUGCUGUGCCUUGGCCUGCCGUGUUUCAUCCCCAUGGCUGUCCUCAGUGAUGUGCAUGGUCACUGCUCCCUUCACCACUGAGAAGACGGGCACAGGACAGUCAGGGGAUGUGUCCAAGGUCCCACAGCAGGAAGGGCUGGAGCCAGAAUGUGGUCUGAGAGGCUGGAUAUACAAAGAGACAAUGGCAUGACCAUCUGUACAAAUGGAACUAUGGCCCACAACCUGCAGCAGCCAGCCCAGGAAGCCAACCCGUCACCUGCAGCAGCCAGGAUGGAUGCUGGCCUGCCCUCAGUUGUACUCACAUCAUUGGUCUUAUGGGGAAAUUUUAAGACCUCCCACUUGUAAGGUUUUAUAGCCCUCUAUGGAAUAUUGAAGAAAGAGUAAAAUGCAUCCAAAAAAAAAAAAAAACACUAAACUGGAUAAAUUCUAAGGCCUCUUCAGGUCUUAAGAUGGCCAUUUUCUAGGUCCUCUUGCUGCAGCAGUGAAAUCCACAAACACGGACAAGUCAGUCAGUUACGUGCCUUUCAGAGAAAACUUCUGACUUAGGAAUUCCAGCUAUUUGGCCCAACCCAUAUUAGAUUGUGUUAUAAAGACAUGGUAAAUUACAUCACGAAGGGAAGAGCAGAGGAAACAUAAUAUUCCUUCAAGACCCAUCAGCUCAGAUGUUAGCAGAACACCCCUAAGGAGGAAAACAAGAAAUUUUGGGUUUGAACUUGGUACUUCCCAGCAGCCCUGGGAGUGGGGUCAGAAGCCCUGCUGGGGGCCAAAGAACUCUGAGGAUCAAAGAUGUUGAGCAUCACCUUAGAGGCCAAAGAUCAGAACAGUGGAGGUGGCCUUUGAAGCCCAACCUGUCUUUCACCAGAGAGUGAGAACGGCCUCUAUUUCCAGGAAGCUCACUGCAGCAAUAAUCAUGAUGCUCUGAGCCUGACAAGGUGAGAAUUUACUUUCAGCACCUGCAAUAGUUUCCUAUUAAAGUUACAUAUGAAACCCUGCCGUCUUGUACCAACUAAUGUUCACACCAGCGUUCCUAUUUUCAAGAUAAAUUGCAAAAUAAAAACUCUUGUUUUCGUUAGCAAAAGAAAACUUCUUUAGGAGGAUAAAAGGGAGAUGAAGAAACAGAAAACACAUCAGCUCUCCAUCCAGAUUACAGAAAGCAGAAAACAUCCUGAAGUGAAUAACAUAGGAAUCGCUCUUUUUCCCCCCUGAGAUAGCAGGUUACUUAUGAGAAACAAGCUUGAAAUCUCUGCACCUGGACCAGCUUCCAGAGGCUUUUGUCCUGACCAGCUGGCUUUGGGGAAGUAAAGGAAACCAGAGAAGAAGAGGCUGAAAGAAUUGGUUUCCACCGUGACCUUUGAACCCUCGGGCGAGUUGUCAGCCUCACUGAGGAUGAGUGUACUCCAUAUCAAGUGAGGUCACUUUACUCGCAAGCUUGUUGUGAGGACUGAAUGAAACCUUUUCUUUUUUCUUGGAGUUUCAGAGCAACGUCCCUGAGCCCAGCCCCACACUGGCUUGAGCCCUGUCGUCGGUCAAGACACGGUGCUUUCUCCCCUCCCCUCUGCACUCCAGCUUACUCUGCAGUCAGGAGGUGGCACCACGAUCCCCUUUAAGACUUUGCCACUUGGGCCAGCUGCGCCCCUGUGAAAUUCCCUGUUUCUAUUGCAGGCCACAAGGACGAGCUGAGAAAUGGCUUCCAGUCACCAUCUAGAUUAGAAAGCCUAUAUUUCAAAUAUAGAUAUAUCAAUUAUGCCUGUAAAAAGACAUUAAAUCCCACAGGGCUGUAAUUCCUAGACUCUACGAAUUUCAUCUUGCACCAAAUUUUAUUAUUUCAUUUAUAAUUCGGAUUCUUCAAAUCUAAGAGUGCCUGGCUCAAAAUUAAAAUACCUACAACUAUGCCAAAACUGGACUCUUUAAUUGCCUUACUGGAACCAGUAGCUGAUUCAAAGCAAAACGAAACAAAAUUCCUCCUUUCUCUGAUUUAGUGAAUCAAUGAUCUAACUGAACUCAUUUUUGGACUGAGUUUGCGGCACUUGCAGCCCUGAGGGACACAUUCCCCCACCACACUGAGCCUGCACUCCCAUCAAUGCAAAUGAACAUUUUGCUUAUUCAGAUUGGGGGGGUGAAGGAAGUCACAAAAGGGUUAAUACAUAUGGCAUUUCAUUGUAAUAUGUACUCACUACUAACUAAAUUAAAAGAGAUGUGAGUUAUUAAAAACUCCAUCUUAAGAAAGUAACAGAAAUCAGAGUUCAGAUUCGUUGUUACUGAGUUUCCAACCAACACCUGUGAGUUAAACCUACGGCCACCCUGAAAACGGUUCAUAUUUUCAAAAGCUUCAUCGAAGAUGAGCUGCACUAAAGAUUCAUAUUACAUAUCAUGCUGCAAUAAGAAAAUCAAAUAAGGCCUUUCCAUAUUCAAUAAUAAAGUUUAAAGAAAAGUAAUAUUUGUUUAGCCAGUUAGCCAGAAAUUAGAUGUAUCAGAAUACAUCAUUCUUUGAGCAUUUUAGAAAAAUCAGGGUAUUUCUACAUUGUGUUUUUCUUUGUAAGCCCUCAAAAAAUAUAGAGAAUAUUCUUGAAAUUAUAGUGUUUGUCUUCUGGAACAAAAAAUACUAAUCAAGGAAAUCUACAAAUUUAAUGGUUUAUUGAGUUUCCACAGGAAACACUGUGUGAGGAGGCUGAGGCUUAGAAGUUCAAAAACUAAAAGGAUUGUUAUGAUUUCGAUAAUAAUAUCUUAUGUCUGCACAACAUCUGAACUCAGUUCUUUCCUGAGGUUCUCUCAUUCUUCAAGCAGCCUCUGAGGUAGGCAGGAGCGAUAAUAUCGGUUCCAUUUUACAGUUAGGAAAACAGAGGCUCACAGAGUCCCAAGGCUUAGCGGGAACGUCCGCCCUGCUCUCUGGGUUCUGAAGAACACAGUCGUGAAGGAUGUAAGCCAUUUCACAUUUUAAGACGAAACAGAUAACUUGUGCUAAAUGCAUGUCCCAGCCCUGCCCUGAGGGCAGGUGGGCACCCGGUGGCCUGCAGGGCUGACAAUUGUGAGAGGGAAGCAAGCUGGGGAGGCUCCCUGGAGAGCUGGUGCAGAGCCUGGAGGACAAGGAAGAUGUGGGGCACGCGGAGAAGGAGACAAGGAAGUCGAAGCGGAUCUUAUGCACGAAAUCAUCAAGUGGAAAUAUGAAAAGUAGUGUAAAAUACACCCACUCACAGGGAUUUUAAAGAUAUGCCUACCAACAAGAGCAAACAUUUACAAGAAACCCCAAGAUGAUUUGGAGAGGGAAACGUGCUGGGCUGGGAAGGAAAGAGGUUGGAGGCUGCAGCCCAGCUUUGAGGCUAUGAUGGUCCAGUCGC